RNAcentral lists this ribosomal RNA (375 nucleotides) under uncultured organism. Its description in RNAcentral is "partial 16S ribosomal RNA". It matches the Rfam family "Bacterial small subunit ribosomal RNA", at positions 527 to 896 of the family's 1533-position model. The record is from RNAcentral.
GUAGGGCGCGAGCGUUGUCCGGAAUUAUUGGGCGUAAAGAGCUUGUAGGCGGUUUGUUGCGUCUGCUGUGAAAGACCGGGGCUUAGCCCCGGUAUUGCAGUGGGUACGGGCAGACUAGAGUGCAGUAGGGGAGACUGGAAUUCCUGGUGUAGCGGUGAAAUGCGCAGAUAUCAGGAGGAACACCGAUGGCGAAGGCAGGUCUCUGGGCUGUAACUGACGCUGAGAAGCGAAAGCAUGGGGGGAGCGAACAGGAUUAGAUACCCUGGUAGUCCAUGCCCGUAAACGUUGGGCACUAGGUGUGGGGGACAUUCCACGUUUUCCGCGCCGUAGCUAACGCAUUAAGUGCCCCCGCCUGGGAGUACGGCCGCAAGGCUA